Molecule: ribosomal RNA, 203 nt
Filed under: uncultured eukaryote
Lineage: Eukaryota
Description: partial 18S ribosomal RNA
Rfam family: Eukaryotic small subunit ribosomal RNA
Source: RNAcentral
UCGUGGAGUGAUUCGUCUUGUUAAUUCAGUUAACGAGCGAGACCUUAACUUGCUAAUUAAGGUACAGGGACUUCUUCGGUUGUCCGUCGUUUCGUUGAGAAAGUGUAUACUUUCUCAGGAAAUCUGUACUGUCGCUGGUUUACCAGUGAUGCUUCUUAGAGGUACAGCACUCGUCCAGGGUGAGGAAGUUUAAGGCAAUAACA